This 397-nucleotide ribosomal RNA is filed under the name uncultured prokaryote. RNAcentral describes it as "partial 16S ribosomal RNA". The record is from RNAcentral.
CCCUACGGGGUGCACCAGGAUGUAUCCCGGGUAAAACUUCCGGGAAGCUGCUCUCCGCUGUCCUUUGACGAGCUCGAUGACCUUCUCCGUCGGCACCAGGACCUCACCGAACAGGGACUCUUUCCCCUGGGAUUUGAUACGUUCCUCCAAGGCGGAUUUCACCUUGUUCUCAAAGCCGGAAUAUGUAUGAACAAUGUACCAGUAUUUCGCCACGAAACCACCCCGCUCGUGCUUAAAAUUCGCGCCUUUCUUCGACCCUCAAAAGAAAGCUCAUCAUUCGAUGAUUAAUCGCACAAGUCGACUCAAAAUCAAAUCCACAAUCCCGAGAAAUAACGCUGAAAUGAGCACGAUCACCACAACGACCGACGUCGAGCCGAUGGUCUCUUUGCGGGAGAGC